This 336-nucleotide ribosomal RNA is filed under the name uncultured Glomeromycotina. Its description in RNAcentral is "LSU rRNA". The record is from RNAcentral. Lineage: Eukaryota; Fungi; Glomeromycota.
UUGAAAGGGAAACGAUUGAAGUCAGUCGUGCAGUCAUCAACUCAACGGUAUCGUGAGGUAAUUUAUUGCUUUACGUUUCCGUGUACUUUGUUGUCUGCUGGUUUAGCAUCAAUUUUUGAUUGUCAUAAAAAGGUUAAGGGGAUGUGGCUCCUUCGGGAGUGUUAUAACCCUUGGCGGAAUGUGACGAUUGGGAUUGAGGUUUGCAACGAAUACCUUUAGGGCAGUUUCCUUCUGGUCUCUUGUUUGACGUUCAGAUGACAACAGCUUGCUUUUUGUUUGUUUGAAUAGUUAGCGAAUAGAUUGGAAUGUGAAUUUAAUUCGUUAAGGAUUGACGUA